Non-coding RNA from Cherax quadricarinatus, 1606 nucleotides. The record is from RefSeq and is a predicted model, not a curated record. Lineage: Eukaryota; Metazoa; Arthropoda; Malacostraca; Decapoda; Parastacidae.
GGUGUAUUUACAGUGACAUACACCUCUCGGUGUAUUUACAGUGACAUACACCUCUGUGUAUUUACAGUGACAUACACCUCUCGGUGUAUUUACAGUGACAUACACCUCUCGGUGUAUUUACAGUGACAUACACCUCUGUGUAUUUACAGUGACAUACACCUCUCGGUGUAUUUACAGUGACAUACACCUCUCGGUGUAUUUACAGUGACAUACACCUCUGUGUAUUUACAGUCACAUACACCUCUCAGUAUAUUUAACCUGUGAUUGGUUAGUUAGUUAAAGGGUGUUACAGCCUGUCGUCCUCACGGGGGUCAUUAAGAACAUAAGAACAUAAGAAAGGAGGAUCACUGCAGCAGGCCUGUUGGCCCAUACUAGGCAGGUCCUUUACAAUUCAUCCCACUAACAAAACAUGUUACCUCUUCACCAGUAAACAACAAUACAGUUAUUACCAAAGUAGGAAUUAUAGUCUCAGUAUAUAUGCACUGAGAGAAAUACGUCUCAUGAUGUAUAUAUUUGUGUGAUUGGUUAGUUACAAGGAUUUCAAGCAUAAUAACUACACAUAAGUUAUUAAGGCUGCAUGUAAGCUAUUCACAGCCAGUGGCAAUAUAAACACAAAUGCAGUAUAAUGUGAUCCUUUAUUGACUACGUUUCGCCCACACAGUGGGCUUUUUCAAGUCACAAACAGAACUGCAUUUGUGUUUAUAUUGCCAUUGUGUCGGUAUUUUAUACCAUUUAUUUCCAUCCUACUCACAGCCAGACAAGCAGACUUUAAUCCUUGAAACAGGGAUUAAAGUCUGGGCAGAUAUACACGUAAACUCACCUCUGUGUAUGUGUCCUGCUUGUGAUUCUUCUAGGUAGUGAACACAUAUAAAUAUCUGUACUUCUACAAGUACAUGUACAAGGUAUACAGUCCUAGAUGACAUCAGUGACAUACUAGUAUAUAGGUGUAUAUCACUGUAAAUACACUGAAAGGUGUAUGUGACUGUAAAUACACCGAGAGGUUUAUGUCAAUAAAUACACUGAGAGGUGUAUGUCACUGUAAAUACACUGAGAGGUGUAUGUCACUGUAAAUACAGAACAUUUCAAGCAAAUUAGGUCAGUUUUUGUCCCCAGGAUGCGACUCACACCAGUCAACUAACACCCAGGUACCCAUUUUAUUCAUGGGUGAACAUGGAUAACAGGUAAAUAACAAAAAGGCACAAUACCGUGACUGGAACGAUACACAAAUAACCCGCACAUAAAAGAGAGAAGCUUACGACGACGACUUUGUCAAUGGUCCAAGUCGGACCGAAACGUCGUCGUAAGCUUCUCACUUUUAUGUGCGGGUUAUUUGUGUAUGGAUAACAGGUGUAAGGAAGCACACAGAAUGUUUCCACCCUUGCCGGGAAUCGACCCAGACCUCAGCGUUUGAAGCGAGAGCUUUUGCCACCAGGCCACAAGUAUUUUAUAAGUCAAUAUCCUAUGAACAAUAUAAAGAACAAGGCCAGGUAACAAUAUGCAUAAGUGUAGAUAGUUUUUAAAUUAAAUAUUCCACGUAUUGUUAAACAGUUUAUAAAAUAUACUAAAAACUGUAUAGAAUUUGGUCAAUAAAGAUAUAUAUUGCCAA